UGGGCCAUGCUGCUCCCAGGAGACUGAGAGGCCAAGAGUCCACAGUCCAGCACCACUGCUUCAAAGGCAACUUGAAUAAGCUGAGGAAACUGAGGAUCAGAGAGAUAUAACUCACCCAAGGCCAUAUCCCCAGAGAGCAGUGGGGACAGCAUUUAACCCAGGCAGGCAGUCUGGCUCCAGAGCCUGCUCUCAAAAUCACUGCACUGCCAUGAACGCGACGAUGAUACCCACUCCACAGGAUUGCUAUAAAGACUUUCCACUGAGGGAAUGUGUGCAAAGCAUUUAGUACAGCACCUGACACCAUCUACAUAGGACUCCACUGGGUGGAUGAACAACUCUUCAACCAAUCUCAUGUGUAUGUAACAGAGAUUCCAAGAUCCAAGAGGCAUGGCCAAGAUCACGGACCUGGUAAACAGCAAAGCUGGAAUACAAACUCAGGCUUUUAAAAAGAAAACCCGCUCGUGUCCAGAUGACAGCCGUGGCUGCAGGGCACCCUCCGCUUGAAAGCCAGACUCCCCCCUCGCUUCUCAGCCACGGUUCUGGAUCCAGACCUUCCCAGCCUGCCAUGUUCCCCGGAGCCCGGAGCCCACCAGUACCUCCUGCCCAUGUGUUCCAGACGUUUCUUCCAGUAAGAAAGAGUUGCAGUGGACACCAUGGCUGGGCCGAGGCCCAUGUUCUCCAGCUGGGCCAGCAAAGCAGGGAAGGAGGAGGAGGAAGUGCCAGCUUGCAUGGCCAGUUCCAGAAACACCAAGCUGCGUUGCCUUGGGCACAUGUCUCAAGCUCUCAGGCUUGUUUCUUCAUCUCUAACUGAUCCAUGGAGUUGUUCUGAGGAUCAAAUGGGAAAACAUAAAUAAAUUACCCAGUG
Molecule: non-coding RNA, 865 nt
Organism: Manis javanica (Malayan pangolin)
Lineage: Eukaryota; Metazoa; Chordata; Mammalia; Pholidota; Manidae
Source: RefSeq, a predicted model, not a curated record